This 468-nucleotide ribosomal RNA is filed under the name uncultured bacterium. Its description in RNAcentral is "partial 16S ribosomal RNA". It matches the Rfam family "Bacterial small subunit ribosomal RNA", at positions 28 to 507 of the family's 1533-position model. The record is from RNAcentral.
GACGAACGCUGGCGGCGUGCUUAACACAUGCAAGUCGAACGGAAAGGCCCUGCUUUUGUGGGGUGCUCGAGUGGCGAACGGGUGAGUAACACGUGAGUAACCUGCCCCUGACUUUGGGAUAACUUCAUGAAACUGGGGCUAAUACCGGAUAGGAGCUCCUGCUGCUUGGUGGGGGUUGGAAAGUUUCGGCGGUUGGGGAUGGACUCGCGGCUUAUCAGCUUGUUGGUGGGGUAGUGGCUUACCAAGGCUUUGACGGGUAGCCGGCCUGAGAGGGUGAGCGGACACAUUGGGACUGAGAUGCGGCCCAGACUCCUACGGGAGGCAGCAGUGGGGAAGAGUGCACAGUGGGCGGGAGCAUGAUGCAGCAACGCCGCGUGCGGGAUGACAGCCUUCGGGUUGUAAAGCGCAUUCGCCUGUGACGAAGCGUGAGUGACGGUACUGGGUAAAGAAGCACCGGCUAACUACGUG